UACGAAGGGGGCUAGCGUUGUUCGGAAUCACUGGGCUUAAAGGGCGCGUAGGCGGGCUGCCAAGUCCGGGGUGAAAUCUUUCGGCCCAACCGGAAAAGUGCCUUGGAUACUGGCGGCCUGGAGGGAGGCAGGGGCGGAUGGAACUUCCGGUGGAGCGGUGAAAUGCGUUGAUAUCAGGAGGAACACCCAUGGCGAAGGCAGGUUACUGGGCAUUAUCUGACGCUGAGGCGCGAAAGCGUGGGUAGCAAACAGG
Molecule: ribosomal RNA, 253 nt
Filed under: uncultured bacterium
Lineage: Bacteria
Description: partial 16S ribosomal RNA
Rfam family: Bacterial small subunit ribosomal RNA
Source: RNAcentral